UACGGGGGGAGCAAGCGUUGUUCGGAUUCACUGGGCGUAAAGGGCGCGUAGGCGGCCACCGCAAGUCGGUUGUGAAAUCUCCGGGCUUAACCCGGAAAGGUCAAUCGAUACUGCGGGGCUAGAGUGCAGAAGGGGCAACUGGAAUUCUCGGUGUAGCGGUGAAAUGCGUAGAUAUCGAGAGGAACACCGGCGGCGAAGGCGGGUUGCUGGGCUGACACUGACGCUGAAGCGCGAAAGCUAGGGGAGCGAACGGG
This 254-nucleotide ribosomal RNA is filed under the name uncultured bacterium. Its description in RNAcentral is "partial 16S ribosomal RNA". It matches the Rfam family "Bacterial small subunit ribosomal RNA", at positions 524 to 776 of the family's 1533-position model. The record is from RNAcentral.